Long non-coding RNA from Sphaeramia orbicularis (orbiculate cardinalfish), 686 nucleotides. The record is from Ensembl. NCBI's taxonomy places the organism in Eukaryota, Metazoa, Chordata, Actinopteri, Kurtiformes, Apogonidae.
UGCAAAUAUGCAAUAUGUGUCAAUAUGAAAUUUACAAUAUGCCAUAUGCCAGUUCCCUGCCUCCAAUAGUAUAAAAAGCGGCAGAUGAAAAUGGGAGCAUGGCAGUUCUUGCAUCAAAGUAAGUACCGUAGAACACGGUGUGACAUCUUUUUUCUUCUUUUGUUGAACUCACUGCCUUCAACAUUUUUGGAGUGUUCUGUUUAAAUUUGCAGUUUGUUUUUUCCUUUUGUUCACCUUCAUAUUUUAUUCCUAUUUCUGUUUGACCUAAAGUUCAUCGUCAUCUUUCUGUUGUAUCUGUCAGAAUCAGCUGUUUUGUGGUCAAAUAAUCUAAUCUGACUUUUUUUUUUUUUUCAGUGAACUCCAAGGGCUGUAGUAAGACCAUGGACUAUCAAUCCCAGACGAAUAACACAGCAAUGAAUGCAUCAACUGUGAUUUCUCCCCACAUCAGGGACUGUCAAAUCGGCAACUUCAACAUCAACAACAACAUCACAGUUCAAGGUGGUAGUUUCUUUCUACCGUCCUCUGAAGGACCCCUGUCUGGGUUCCCACAGGAGGUGUGUAGGGUUCAGAACGACCAGAAUGGACGACUGGACAACGAUGAUCUAUUUCUGCUCAUGUUGAAGGAGCGCCUGAAAACACUUGAUGUCCGAACAAGGUUUAAAGUGAAGAAUGGCCUGUACAGAUGA